GAUGAAGAACGCAGUGAAAUGCGAUAAGUAAUGUGAAUUGCAGAAUUCAGUGAAUCAUCGAAUCUUUGAACGCACAUUGCGCCCGCUGGUAUUCCGGCGGGCAUGCCUGUUCGAGCGUCAUUUCAACCCUCAAGCUCUCCGGAGUUUGGUGUUGGGGCGCCUGGGGCUUUUCGACCUCAGGGCCCUCAAGUCCAUCGGCGGGACCGCCAGGACACUGAGCGCAGUAGUAUUAUUUCGCUCGGUAGGAUCUUCCACGGCGGGUCGAUCUGGCCGCUAAACCCCCCAAUUCUCACCAAAGGUUGACCUCGGAUCAGGUAGGAAUACCCGCUGAACUUAAGCAUAUCAAUAAGCGGAGGA
RNAcentral lists this unclassified non-coding RNA (357 nucleotides) under soil metagenome. RNAcentral describes it as "partial contains 5.8S ribosomal RNA, internal transcribed spacer 2, and large subunit ribosomal RNA". The stretch from base 1 to 120 matches the Rfam family "5.8S ribosomal RNA", at positions 35 to 154 of the family's 154-position model. The record is from RNAcentral.